This 946-nucleotide ribosomal RNA is filed under the name Lindgomyces okinawaensis. RNAcentral's name for it is "SSU rRNA". It matches the Rfam family "Eukaryotic small subunit ribosomal RNA", at positions 106 to 1060 of the family's 1831-position model. Lineage: Eukaryota; Fungi; Ascomycota; Dothideomycetes; Pleosporales; Lindgomycetaceae. The record is from RNAcentral.
UCAGUUAUCGUUUAUUUGAUAGUACCUUACUACUUGGAUAACCGUGGUAAUUCUAGAGCUAAUACAUGCUAAAAACCCCGACUUCGGGAGGGGUGUAUUUAUUAGAUAAAAAACCAAUGCCCUUCGGGGCUCUUUGGUGAUUCAUAAUAACUUAACGGAUCGCAUGGCCUUGCGCCGGCGACGGUUCAUUCAAAUUUCUGCCCUAUCAACUUUCGAUGGUAAGGUAUUGGCUUACCAUGGUUUCAACGGGUAACGGGGAAUUAGGGUUCGAUUCCGGAGAGGGAGCCUGAGAAACGGCUACCACAUCCAAGGAAGGCAGCAGGCGCGCAAAUUACCCAAUCCCGACACGGGGAGGUAGUGACAAUAAAUACUGAUACAGGGCUCUUUUGGGUCUUGUAAUUGGAAUGAGUACAAUUUAAACCCCUUAACGAGGAACAAUUGGAGGGCAAGUCUGGUGCCAGCAGCCGCGGUAAUUCCAGCUCCAAUAGCGUAUAUUAAAGUUGUUGCAGUUAAAAAGCUCGUAGUUGAAACUUGGGCCUGGCUGGCCGGUCCGCCUCACCGCGUGUACUGGUCCGGCCGGGCCUUUCCUUCUGGAGAGCCUCAUGCCCUUCACUGGGUGUGUUGGGGAACCAGGACUUUUACUUUGAAAAAAUUAGAGUGUUCAAAGCAGGCCUUUGCUCGAAUACAUUAGCAUGGAAUAAUAGAAUAGGACGUGCGAUCCUAUUUUGUUGGUUUCUAGGACCGCCGUAAUGAUUAAUAGGGAUAGUCGGGGGCAUCAGUAUUCAAUUGUCAGAGGUGAAAUUCUUGGAUUUAUUGAAGACUAACUACUGCGAAAGCAUUUGCCAAGGAUGUUUUCAUUAAUCAGUGAACGAAAGUUAGGGGAUCGAAGACGAUCAGAUACCGUCGUAGUCUUAACCGUAAACUAUGCCGACUAGGGAUCGGGCGA